GGGUGCUUGAGGCUGUUUGCCUCAGGCUUUCGCAAGAGGCAAACAGUGGAGAGUCCCACAUCAAAAAAACUGAUGGGGAGACCAACUUCACAACCAACAUUGCGAGGUUAGUCUCUUCAUUGCCGAAAAGCAAUAAGGAGGCUGGAAUG
Molecule: antisense RNA, 149 nt
Filed under: Tichodroma muraria
Lineage: Eukaryota; Metazoa; Chordata; Aves; Passeriformes; Sittidae
Description: sok antitoxin (CssrC)
Rfam family: sok antitoxin (CssrC)
About the family: Also identified in Shigella as CssrC.
Source: Rfam by way of RNAcentral